CCUGGCUCAGAACGAACGCUGGCGGCAGGCCUAACACAUGCAAGUCGAGCGCGCCCUUCGGGGUGAGCGGCGGACGGGUUAGUAACGCGUGGGAAUAUGCCCAAAGGUACGGAAUAGCCUCUGGAAACGGAGAGUAAUACCGUAUGUGCCCUUCGGGGGAAAGAUUUAUCGCCUUUGGAUUAGCCCGCGUUAGAUUAGGUAGUUGGUGGGGUAAUGGCCUACCAAGCCUACGAUCUAUAGCUGGUUUUAGAGGAUGAUCAGCAACACUGGGACUGAGACACGGCCCAGACUCC
Molecule: ribosomal RNA, 293 nt
Filed under: Roseibium sp. RKSG952
Lineage: Bacteria; Pseudomonadati; Pseudomonadota; Alphaproteobacteria; Hyphomicrobiales; Stappiaceae
Description: Bacterial small subunit ribosomal RNA
Rfam family: Bacterial small subunit ribosomal RNA
Source: Rfam by way of RNAcentral